This 206-nucleotide unclassified non-coding RNA is filed under the name uncultured fungus. Its description in RNAcentral is "sequence contains ITS1". The record is from RNAcentral. Lineage: Eukaryota; Fungi.
UUGAUUCGUUUUGCUUGGUUACUCAGAGUGCGAGGCGCCGCGGGGGGCGAAGGCAGGUGUUUUGGGUCCCCGGGCGGGCGCCUGUUUCCGGGGGCGCCGGGCCGGCGCUCCCGGGGCGGUCCGCCGAGGCAACUUCGGUACGUUCACAGGGGUUUGGGAGUCGCGGGGACUCUGUAAUGAUCCCUCCGCUGGUUCACCAACGGAGA